GACGAACGCUGGCGGCGUGCUUAACACAUGCAAGUCGAACGAGAGCGUAGAGAAAGCUUGCUUUUUCUACAAUCUAGUGGCAAACGGGUGAGUAACGCGUAAACAACCUGCCCUACGGAUGGGGACAACAGCUGGAAACGGCUGCUAAUACCGAAUACGUUCCGAAAGUCGCAUGACUAUCGGAAGAAAGGAUGGCCUCUAUUUAUAAGCUAUCGCCGGAGGAGGGGUUUGCGUCUGAUUAGCUAGUUGGAGGGGUAACGGCCCACCAAGGCGACGAUCAGUAUCCGGUCUGAGAGGAUGAACGGCCACAUUGGAACGGAGACACGGUCCAGACUCCUACGGGAGGCAGCAGUGGGGAAUCUUCCGCAAUGGGCGAAAGCCUGACGGAGCAACGCCGCGUGAGUGAAGACGGCCUUCGGGUUGUAAAGCUCUGUUAUACGGGACGAAUAAUCUUGUGGUUAAUACCCAUGAGAAGUGACGGUACCGUAAGAGAAAGCCACGGCUAACUACGUG
RNAcentral lists this ribosomal RNA (513 nucleotides) under uncultured bacterium. RNAcentral describes it as "partial 16S ribosomal RNA". It matches the Rfam family "Bacterial small subunit ribosomal RNA", at positions 28 to 507 of the family's 1533-position model. The record is from RNAcentral.